ACCUUCUUACUUAAGCUCUGUACUAAAAUUACAGAAAGUAGUAACCGUGUCUUAGUAUUUAUAAAUAAAGCAGCAGAGUAAACACAAGAAGAGAAACAAUUAUACCAGAUAAUAAAAAAACUGAGCUGAACCUCUUUCUUAAGUCCAGGAUACUUUGUUCUAAAAUUUGGUACAAUAAUA
Molecule: small nucleolar RNA, 180 nt
Organism: Panthera leo (lion)
Lineage: Eukaryota; Metazoa; Chordata; Mammalia; Carnivora; Felidae
Source: Ensembl